AUAAAGUAGGAAAUACCUAUUUCCCAAAUGAUGCCAUAAACUGUUAAAAAACCGACAUUUACAUUUUUAUCAGUUAAAUUGAAGAACAUAAAAUUGGUAAACGAAACUAUUUUUAUAUAAAAGCUAGAACUAGACUAGCUUCAUCAUCAGUCAACUUUAGUUCACAGCAAUCACCUAAACAAUCCUGAUAUCAUCAUGGUUUCUUCAAAGAUUAUCAUCCUCGCUAUCGCCCUGUUCGCCUGCAUCAUGCAUACGCAAGCUGCGUCAUCUGAUGACGAAGACAAGAA
Long non-coding RNA from Pieris napi, 287 nucleotides. RefSeq lists it as uncharacterized. The record is from RefSeq and is a predicted model, not a curated record. The transcript has 2 exons. NCBI's taxonomy places the organism in Eukaryota, Metazoa, Arthropoda, Insecta, Lepidoptera, Pieridae.